UACGUAGGGUGCAAGCGUUGUCCGGAAUUAUUGGGCGUAAAGAGCUCGUAGGCGGUCUGUCGCGUCGGAUGUGAAAAUCCAGGGCUCAACCCUGGACCUGCAUUCGAUACGGGCAGACUAGAGUUCGGUAGGGGAGACUGGAAUUCCUGGUGUAGCGGUGAAAUGCGUAGAUAUCUGGAGGAACACCGGUGGCGAAGGCGGCAUCCUGGACCAAUAUUGACGCUGAGGAGCGAAAGCCAGGGGAGCAAACGGG
Molecule: ribosomal RNA, 253 nt
Filed under: uncultured bacterium
Lineage: Bacteria
Description: partial 16S ribosomal RNA
Rfam family: Bacterial small subunit ribosomal RNA
Source: RNAcentral